RNAcentral lists this ribosomal RNA (377 nucleotides) under uncultured bacterium. RNAcentral describes it as "bacterial SSU rRNA". It matches the Rfam family "Bacterial small subunit ribosomal RNA", at positions 521 to 896 of the family's 1533-position model. The record is from RNAcentral.
UAAUACGUAGGUGGCAAGCGUUGUCCGGAUUUAUUGGGCGUAAAGCGAGCGCAGGCGGUUCUUUAAGUCUGAUGUGAAAGCCCCCGGCUCAACCGGGGAGGGUCAUUGGAAACUGGAGAACUUGAGUGCAGAAGAGGAGAGUGGAAUUCCACGUGUAGCGGUGAAAUGCGUAGAUAUGUGGAGGAACACCAGUGGCGAAGGCGACUCUCUGGUCUGUAACUGACGCUGAGGCUCGAAAGCGUGGGGAGCAAACAGGAUUAGAUACCCUGGUAGUCCACGCCGUAAACGAUGAGUGCUAAGUGUUGGAGGGUUUCCGCCCUUCAGUGCUGCAGCUAACGCAUUAAGCACUCCGCCUGGGGAGUACGGCCGCAAGGCUG